ACGGGUGAGUAACGCGUGAGAAUCUGGCUUCAGGUCGGGGACAACAGUUGGAAACGACUGCUAAUACCGGAUAUGCCGAGAGGUGAAAGAUUAAUUGCCUGGAGAUGAGCUCGCGUCUGAUUAGCUAGUUGGUGGGGUAAGAGCCUACCAAGGCGACGAUCAGUAGCUGGUCUGAGAGGAUGAUCAGCCACACUGGGACUGAGACACGGCCCAGACUCCUACGGGAGGCAGCAGUGGGGAAUUUUCCGCAAUGGGCGAAAGCCUGACGGAGCAAUACCGCGUGAGGGAGGAAGGCUCUUGGGUCGUAAACCUCUUUUCUCAGGGAAGAAAAAAAUGACGGUACCUGAGGAAUAAGCAUCGGCUAACUCCGUGCCAGCAGCCGCGGUAAUACGGAGGAUGCAAGCGUUAUCCGGAAUGAUUGGGCGUAAAGCGUCCGCAGGUGGCCAUGUAAGUCUGCUGUUAAAGAGUCAUGCUCAACAUGAUAAAAGCAGUGGAAACUACACGGCUAGAGUACGUUCGGGGCAGAGGGAAUUCCUGGUGU
This 541-nucleotide ribosomal RNA is filed under the name Wollea vaginicola ISB25. Its description in RNAcentral is "bacterial SSU rRNA". It matches the Rfam family "Bacterial small subunit ribosomal RNA", at positions 102 to 676 of the family's 1533-position model. Lineage: Bacteria; Bacillati; Cyanobacteriota; Cyanophyceae; Nostocales; Nostocaceae. The record is from RNAcentral.